This 1223-nucleotide ribosomal RNA is filed under the name uncultured organism. RNAcentral describes it as "bacterial SSU rRNA". It matches the Rfam family "Bacterial small subunit ribosomal RNA", at positions 188 to 1392 of the family's 1533-position model. The record is from RNAcentral.
GAAGGGGGGGCUCCUUUUGGACCUUCCGCUUAUAUAUUGGUCCGUGUCCCAUUAGCUAGUUGGUGGGGUAAAGCGCCUACCAAGGCGACGAUGGGUAGCCGGCCUGAGAGGGUGUCCGGCCACACUGGGAUUGAGAUACGGCCCAGACUCCUUCGGGAGGCAGCAGUCGAGAAUCUUCCACAAUGUACGAAAAGUAUGAUGGAGCGACGCCGCGUGUGUGAUGAAGGCUCAACGAGUUGUAAAGCACUGUCAGGGGGGAAGAAUCAGCGCAUAACUAAUAAAUAUGCGCUCUGACGUACCCCCAGAGGAAGCUCCGGCUAACUCCGUGCCAGCAGCCGCGGUAAUACGGAGGGAGCAAGCGUUGUCCGGAAUUAUUGGGCGUAAAGGGCACGCAGGCGGUUCGGUAAGUCGAAUGUGAAAUCUUACAGCUUAACUGUAAAACUGCGUUCGAAACUUACCGAACUUGAGUACUGGAGAGGUAUGCGGAAUUCCUGGUGGAACGGUGGAAUGCGUGGAUAUCAGGAAGAACACCGGUGGCGAAGGCGGCAUACUGGCCAAGUACUGACGCUCAGGUGCGAAAGCGUGGGGAGCAAACGGGAUUAGAUACCCCGGUAGUCCACGCUGUAAACGAUGGGUACUAGGUUUUGGAGGUCUCAACCCCUUCAGAGCCGCAGCUAACGCAUUAAGUACCCCGUCUGGGGAAUACGGUCGCAAGGCUGAAACUCAAAGGAAUUGACGGGGGCCCGCACAAGCGGUGGAGCAUGUGUUUUAAUUCGAAGCAACGCGAAGAACCUUACCAGGGUAUGACAUGUGAGCUUCGACCUUCGGGAAGAGGUUAAUCCUGUGAAAGCAGGACGAAUCACACAGGUGUUGUAUGGCUGUCGUCAGCUCGUGUCGUGAGAUGUUGGGUUAAGUCCCGCAACGAGCGCAACCCUUGCUGUUAGUUACCAUCGGGUAAUGCCGGGGACUCUAGCAGGACUGCCGGUGAUAAACCGGAGGAAGGUGGGGAUGAUGUCAAGUCAUUAUGACCCUUUACACCCUGGGCUAACCACGUGCUACAAUGGUCGGUACAAAGGGGAGCGAUACCGCGAGGUGGAGCAAAUCCCAAAAAGCCGGCCUCAGUACGGAUUGCAGUCUGCAACUCGACUGCAUGAAGCUGGAAUCGCUAGUAAUCGUGGAUCAGCAUGCCACGGUGAAUACGUUCCCGGGCCUUGUACACACCG